This 381-nucleotide ribosomal RNA is filed under the name Triticum aestivum (bread wheat). Its description in RNAcentral is "partial small subunit ribosomal RNA". The record is from RNAcentral. Lineage: Eukaryota; Viridiplantae; Streptophyta; Magnoliopsida; Poales; Poaceae.
AUGGCUUCUUGUCAUAUAAAGGGAAUAAUAAAUAUGGCAGAGAAAAAGUUCCAGAACCUAAAGUCUCAUGACUGCUUCGUGAUUAUGACGCAACUACUUCUGGUUGCAUUGAGGGAGCUUCUACCGGAAAACGUUCGAUUAGCCAUUGUGAAGCUAUGUGCAUUCCUCAAUGCAAUCUCUCAGAAGGUAAUCGAUCCAGAAAUCAUACCAAGGUUAAAGAAUGAUUUGGUGCAAUGUCUUGUCAGUUUCGAGUUGGUGUUCCCACCAUCCUUCUUCAACAUCAUGACACACGUCCUAGUUCACCUAUGCAAAGAGAUUAACGUUUUGGGUCAUGUAUUUCUACACAAUAUGUUCCCCUUGAGAGGUUCAUGGGAGUCUUAA